RNAcentral lists this unclassified non-coding RNA (616 nucleotides) under Athalia rosae (coleseed sawfly). RNAcentral's name for it is "misc RNA ENSAEAG00005009812.1". Lineage: Eukaryota; Metazoa; Arthropoda; Insecta; Hymenoptera; Athaliidae. The record is from RNAcentral.
AAAGCAGAAAAAAAAAAAAGAAAACACGAAACAAAAUAAUAAUAUAGUAAUAACAUACGUAAUAGAAGUAUCGAGACACCCCGCGGUCCGGUUGAGAGAAAUUCAUAAGAAUGGUAGAGUCUCGUCGUGGUCGCAAUAUCGUCAGGGAGUGAGAGUGAGAGUGGCGUCCGUCCUACGGUACCUCCAAAAGGAUUCUUCGAGGGUUCAAAGGAUCCGCAGACACGCGGACAAACUCAGGCAGCGUGGAGCGCUCAGGGAGUGCGUGGCCGCGCGCCGCGGAACUUUGCUUCUAUCAGCCAGGGUGCGCUUUCCUGACCUACUACAGCCGUGACAGCGCGAUCAGUGCCCAGGACGCUCUGCAUGAAAAACGGACUUUACCAGGGGUGAGCAUAUUUUAUAGCUUUUCGGGGGCAUGGAAGGGGGCGAAGGGAGGACAAAUCACAAUUUAUUGAACGUUGAUGCGUAAGUGAAAAAAUUAUAUGAACACCUGAUCCUCGUCGGCAUGCACGUAUAUGUAUACGGUGGAGCGCAGUUGCACCGAAUGCGUAUCGGCGAGGCUCCCGUGCGCGCAUUAGUCUCCGCCGCACAAUGGGCAUUAAAGCGGCAAUCGAGAUGA